GACGAACGCUGGCGGCGUGCUUAACACAUGCAAGUCGAACGGUGAAGCGCCUUCCUUUUUGGUGGGUGUGGAUGAGUGGCGAACGGGUGAGUAACACGUGAGUAACCUGCCCCCUUCUUCUGGAUAACCGCAUGAAAGUGUGGCUAAUACGGGAUAUUCUGGGUCUGUCGCAUGAUGGGUCUGGGAAAGAUAUUGUUUCGGUGGGGGAUGGGCUCGCGGCCUAUCAGCUUGUUGGUGGGGUGAUGGCCUACCAAGGCGGUGACGGGUAGCCGACCUGAGAGGGUGGACGGUCACACUGGGACUGAGACACGGCCCAGACUCCUACGGGAGGCAGCAGUGGGGAAUAUUGCACAAUGGGCGCAAGCCUGAUGCAGCGACGCCGCGUGAGGGAUGGAGGCCUUCGGGUUGUGAACCUCUUUCGCCAGUGAAGCAGGCCUGCCUCGUUUGUGGGUGGGUUGACGGUAGCUGGAGAAGAAGCGCCGGCUAACUACGUG
This 494-nucleotide ribosomal RNA is filed under the name uncultured bacterium. RNAcentral's name for it is "partial 16S ribosomal RNA". It matches the Rfam family "Bacterial small subunit ribosomal RNA", at positions 28 to 507 of the family's 1533-position model. The record is from RNAcentral.